GAUGAACGCUGGCGGCGUGCCUAAUACAUGCAAGUCGAGCGAACAGACGAGGAGCUUGCUCCUCUGACGUUAGCGGCGGACGGGUGAGUAACACGUGGAUAACCUACCUAUAAGACUGGGAUAACUUCGGGAAACCGGAGCUAAUACCGGAUAAUAUAUUGAACCGCAUGGUUCAAUAGUGAAAUACGGUUUUGCUGUCACUUAUAGAUGGAUCCGCGCCGCAUUAGCUAGUUGGUAAGGUAACGGCUUACCAAGGCGACGAUGCGUAGCCGACCUGAGAGGGUGACCGGCCACACUGGAACUGAGACACGGUCCAGACUCCUACGGGAGGCAGCAGUGGGGAAUCUUCGGCAAUGGGCGAAAGCCUGACGGAGCAACGCCGCGUGAGUGAUGAAGGUCUUCGGAUCGUAAAACUCUGUUGUCAGGGAAGAAAAAAUGCGUAAUAAACUAUGCGCCUCUUGACGGUACCUGAUGAGAAAGCCCCGGCUAACUACGUG
Molecule: ribosomal RNA, 497 nt
Filed under: uncultured bacterium
Lineage: Bacteria
Description: partial 16S ribosomal RNA
Rfam family: Bacterial small subunit ribosomal RNA
Source: RNAcentral